AUGGCUCAGGAUGAACGCUGGCGGCGUGCCUAACACAUGCAAGUCGAACGAAGCAUACGGACUGGAGAUUCGUCGAAGGACUGUAUGACUUAGUGGCGGACGGGUGAGUAAUGUAUGAGCAACCUGCCUUUCAGAGGGGGACAACAGUUGGAAACGACUGCUAAUACCGCGUAACGUAUCGUGAGGGCAUCCUCGUGAUACCAAAGGAGCAAUCCGCUGAAAGAUGGGCUCAUAUCUGAUUAGCUUGUUGGCGGGGUAACGGCCCACCAAGGCGACGAUCAGUAGCCGGACUGAGAGGUUGAACGGCCACAUUGGGACUGAGAUACGGCCCAGACUCCUACGGGAGGCAGCAGUGGGGAAUAUUGGGCAAUGGGCGAAAGCCUCGACCCAGCAACGCCGCGUGAAGGAAGAAGGUCUUCGGAUUGUAAACUUCUUUUAUGAGGGACGAAGGACGUGACGGUACCUCAUGAAUAAGCCACGGCUAACUACGUGCCAGCCGCUGC
RNAcentral lists this ribosomal RNA (503 nucleotides) under uncultured bacterium. RNAcentral describes it as "bacterial SSU rRNA". It matches the Rfam family "Bacterial small subunit ribosomal RNA", at positions 19 to 518 of the family's 1533-position model. The record is from RNAcentral.